AUGGCCGGAAGGAAGGGCGGCGACAGGAAGAAGGCGGUGACACGCUCCGUCAAGGCCGGGCUCCAGUUCCCCGUCGGCCGCAUCGGGCGGUACCUCAAGAAGGGCCGAUACGCCCAGCGCGUCGGAUCCGGCGCCCCCGUCUACCUCGCCGCUGUCCUCGAGUACCUCGCCGCCGAGGUCCUGGAGCUCGCCGGCAACGCGGCCAAGGACAACAAGAAGACCCGCAUCAUCCCGCGCCACCUGCUGCUCGCCGUCCGCAACGACCAGGAGCUCGGCAAGCUGCUCGCCGGCGUCACCAUCGCCCACGGCGGCGUCAUCCCCAACAUCAACGCCGUGCUGCUCCCCAAGAAGUCCCCCGCCGCCGCCGAGAAGGAGGCCAAGUCGCCCAAGAAGAAGACCUCCACCAAGUCCCCCAAGAAGAAGACCGCCGCCACCAAGGAGUAA
RNAcentral lists this ribosomal RNA (444 nucleotides) under Triticum aestivum (bread wheat). RNAcentral describes it as "partial small subunit ribosomal RNA". Lineage: Eukaryota; Viridiplantae; Streptophyta; Magnoliopsida; Poales; Poaceae. The record is from RNAcentral.